UGAUAGCUAUGAAGCUUGAGGUUGUUACCCCGUAAAUGGGGUAAGUUUUCAGUGGAGCGAAUGUCAAGUCUAGAAACUGGCGACAA
This 86-nucleotide non-coding RNA is filed under the name uncultured Acetitomaculum sp. RNAcentral describes it as "S10-Clostridia ribosomal protein leader". It matches the Rfam family "S10-Clostridia ribosomal protein leader". Lineage: Bacteria; Bacillati; Bacillota; Clostridia; Lachnospirales; Lachnospiraceae. The record is from RNAcentral.